ACUGAGUGGUUAUCCAAUGAUAGCCGUUCCAAAAGUCGCAGUUGGUCGACCACGAAGUGUUCGAUUCUCAGCAAGAAAUUGAAAGAGGAGAGAAUGGUGGAAUCUUAGUUACAGAUAAAAUUAGUGGAUUACUGUUUGAACUGCCGCUUUCGCCGAAG
Molecule: long non-coding RNA, 158 nt
Organism: Harpegnathos saltator (Jerdon's jumping ant)
Lineage: Eukaryota; Metazoa; Arthropoda; Insecta; Hymenoptera; Formicidae
Exons: 3
Source: RefSeq, a predicted model, not a curated record